RNAcentral lists this transfer RNA (71 nucleotides) under Atrina pectinata. RNAcentral's name for it is "tRNA-Ser". The record is from RNAcentral. Lineage: Eukaryota; Metazoa; Mollusca; Bivalvia; Pterioida; Pinnidae.
GGGGAAAUACUUGGUUAACAAGUAAAGAACUUCUAAUUCUUUGGUGUGCAAAUAAUAUUGUGCUUUCCCUU